CCAGAAAAUAGUUUAGUUUAGAAUUCUGGCUUUGGGAGCCAGGGGUAAGAGUUAAAAUCUCUUUUUUCUGGGC
RNAcentral lists this transfer RNA (73 nucleotides) under Tor tor (Tor mahseer). RNAcentral describes it as "tRNA-Pro". It matches the Rfam family "tRNA". Rfam says of the family: Transfer RNA (tRNA) molecules are approximately 80 nucleotides in length. Their secondary structure includes four short double-helical elements and three loops (D, anti-codon, and T loops). The record is from RNAcentral. Lineage: Eukaryota; Metazoa; Chordata; Actinopteri; Cypriniformes; Cyprinidae.